AUGGACCACUUUUAAGAAUAUCUCCAAAAACUGUUUGGAAAAAUCUCCGACGAGGAAGAAAUUGCCGUCGCGGCUGACUACGAACGGACGCACGCAGGGCUUCCCUCCGUGUAUUUGACGAUCUGAUCGCACACUCCGUCUGCACCAGAGUGUCAGUUUGUCAAAUAUACAAAGGGCGGCCUCUGACCCGCCACAAGGACCCGGACUCUUGGCCAAAACCAAACGGACAACCGGACACCUUCCGACAGAAACGCAGGCGACUCUAUGGACUCCAGAGUUAUUUAUUUAUUAUUUUCUAGCUGUGCCCGGCCACGUGUUGCUGUGGCAUCGUCCUAAGUGGGAUUCCUCAGGGAGGUGUUAGCUGGCCCUGAUUGUUUCCUAUCUGGAAUUCCCAGUUUCCUUGUUUUCAGAGUGUUGCUCUUUAUUUACUGUCCUGAUUUUAAAGAUUAUAUUGUUCUGUAUUAUUAUACCACAGGGGCCCCCUGGUGGCACAGUGUGUUAAAGCGCUGAGCUGAUGAACUUGCGGACCAAAAGGUCCCAGGUUCAAAUCCCGGGAGCAGAAUGAGCGCCCGCUGUUAGCCCCAGCUCCUGCCAACCUAGCAGUUUGAAAACAUGCAAAUAUGAGUAGAUCACAUGUCACCAAAUCUGAAAACAUGUUCUGUCUCUGGUUUGGAAGUGUUGUUUCCUGUUUAAUUGAAAAGUGGUUACUUUCAAAGUA
Anolis carolinensis (green anole) is the source of this 718-nucleotide long non-coding RNA. RefSeq lists it as uncharacterized. The transcript has 2 exons. The record is from RefSeq and is a predicted model, not a curated record. NCBI's taxonomy places the organism in Eukaryota, Metazoa, Chordata, Lepidosauria, Squamata, Anolidae.